This 252-nucleotide small RNA is filed under the name uncultured Siminovitchia sp. RNAcentral's name for it is "BsrG". It matches the Rfam family "BsrG". Rfam says of the family: bsrE, bsrG and bsrH pair through intermolecular interactions with antisense sRNAs. SR4 interaction with the 3'UTR of bsrG RNA promotes bsrG degradation and inhibits its translation. SR5 also overlaps bsrG from nucleotide 163 to 52 (Rfam overlap check). Lineage: Bacteria; Bacillati; Bacillota; Bacilli; Caryophanales; Bacillaceae. The record is from RNAcentral.
GAAUGGCUCUCUCAAGGGCGGCCUGGCUCAUCCCCGAUGAAAGGGGGUGAUGCUUAUGACGGUAUUUGAAGCUUUAUCACUCAUGAUAGCUUUUGGCGCAUUAAUCGCCUUACUGUCGCAAGAAAAAAAGAAAUAGACCUCCCUUGAGACCUGAACAGUUUUAGGGAUUGGUCUAUUUCGUUGAACAAUCUGAGCCAGCCGUCCUUAGAUAAGGGCGACUAUUGUACAAGACCGUAAGUGUUGGUAGCACUU